GACGAACGCUGGCGGCGUGCCUAAUACAUGCAAGUAGAACGAGUUGCGAACGGGUGAGUAACGCGUGGUAACCUGCCUCAUAGCGGGGGAUAACUAUUGGAAACGAUAGCUAAUACCGCAUACUGUGAGAUGGACCUGCGUUGUAUUAGCUAGUAGGUGGGGUAACGGCUCACCUAGGCGACGAUCCCUAGCUGGUCUGAGAGGAUGACCAGCCACACUGGAACGGAGACACGGUCCAGACUCCUACGGGAGGCAGCAGUGGGGAAUAUUGCAAAAGGGGCGCAAGCCUGAUGCAGCCAUGCCGCGUGUGUGAAGAAGGCCUUCGGGUUGUAAAGCACUUUCAGCGGGGAGGCGUUACCCGCAGAAGAAGCACCGGCUAACUCCGUGCCAGCAGCCGCGGUAAUAC
Molecule: ribosomal RNA, 406 nt
Filed under: uncultured bacterium
Lineage: Bacteria
Description: partial 16S ribosomal RNA
Rfam family: Bacterial small subunit ribosomal RNA
Source: RNAcentral